UACGUAGGGUCCAAGCGUUAUCCGGAAUUACUGGGCGUAAAGCGUCUGUAGGCGGCUUAACAAGUCAGGUGCGAAAUCUUGCGGCUCAACCGUAUAGACUGUGCUUGAAACUGUUUGGCUAGAGGUAGGUAGAGGCAAGUGGAAUUUCUGGUGUAGGAGUGACAUCCGUAGAUAUCAGAAGGAACACCAAUGGCGAAGGCAGCUUGCUGGGCCUUACCUGACGCUCAGAGACGAAAGCGUGGGGAGCGAACGGG
Molecule: ribosomal RNA, 254 nt
Filed under: uncultured bacterium
Lineage: Bacteria
Description: partial 16S ribosomal RNA
Rfam family: Bacterial small subunit ribosomal RNA
Source: RNAcentral